Molecule: ribosomal RNA, 440 nt
Filed under: uncultured bacterium
Lineage: Bacteria
Description: bacterial SSU rRNA
Rfam family: Bacterial small subunit ribosomal RNA
Source: RNAcentral
ACGCCGCGUGUGUGAUGAAGGCGGAAACGUUGUAAAGCACUUUUCCUGGGGAAGAAUAAGGUGAGGAGGUAAUGCCUCAUCGAUGACACGAACUAGGGAAUAAGCCCCGGCUAAUUACGUGCCAGCAGCCGCGGUAACACGUAAGGGGCAAGCGUUGUUCGGAAUUAUUGGGCGUAAAGGGCGUGUAGGCGGCCUGGUAAGUCUGGUGUGAAAGACCGCAGCUUAACUGCGGGACCGCGCUGGAAACUAUCAGGCUAGAGUUUAAGAGGGGGAGCUAGAAUUCCAGGUGUAGGGGUGAAAUCUGUAGAUAUCUGGAAGAAUACCGGAGGCGAAGGCGAGCUCCUGGCUAUAAACUGACGCUGAGGCGCGAAAGCGUGGGGAGCAAACAGGAUUAGAUACCCUGGUAGUCCACGCUGUAAACGUUGUGCACUAGGUGUUGG